RNAcentral lists this long non-coding RNA (5580 nucleotides) under Sus scrofa (pig). Its description in RNAcentral is "lncRNA (ENSSSCG00030012936.1)". The record is from RNAcentral. Lineage: Eukaryota; Metazoa; Chordata; Mammalia; Artiodactyla; Suidae.
UUUUUUUUUUUUUUUUUUUUAAAGCCUUGGUGGUGAGGGGAAAAGCAGAUAAACCUAAGAGCAAAUCGUAGUUACAUUCUUACAUUUGAUUGUUACUGCUCUUUGGUCUCUCCUGUCUUAGAACAGUCCCAUAUAUCUUUCUCUCUCUCUCUCCCCCCACCCCCUCUCUCAAGACAUCAACACAAUGUGUUAAGCACUCCUGGCUAGUUUUCUUGUGGAAUGUCCCACAUUCAGCAUUUAUCUGAUUAUUUACCACCAAACCUCGUCAUUUCCUGGAAAUGAGAGGUCAGGUCUGAGGACCUGAUUGGACACAGAAUAAACAUAUUAACAAGAAUACUCCAAAGGUGGUUAAGUGGUCCAUGUUCAUCACAGCAAAAGACACAUGGUAUCAAGAUUUCCACUACAAGAUUGGUUCAACUCGGUUCAAGUGGCGACUUACAGAUCUCUUUAUUGUAAAGGCACUUUUCCUUUUUGUAAUAGUAAAUGAUGAAUGGGAUGAUAAUUUUGUAUGCAUAUAUCCCAUUCCCAGCAGUCUUUCCCACAAAGGUACUGGUAUCCACUGAUGUUUCUGGCCUAAACUGUUCCACUGGAGUUUACAGCAUGAAGGUUUUCUAGUCUGACACUACUUCAAAAUGUAUUAAUGUCUCUCUAAAGGAGGGCUUUCCUUUUUCUCUUUUCAUUACUCUGGACUCAUACAUUAAUUUUAUUAUUUAAGGUUUUAUAAUAAUUUACAAUCAUUCUUGCACUGAUGCUCAGAUAUUUCCAAACUUGGUCAGCAGGAGCUCCACUGGGUUAAAGUACUUCGAUGUGAUCCAACAGCUUUUGAGGACUUCCUUGUUUUCUGGCUUUUACCCUCUGCCAAAAUCUAGGAUCUGCCAUUUUUCAUAGACACACUAUAGUCUUUCGGUGAGAAGAAUAUUUAAAAGACCACAUUAUCAAUGCUAAGUGCAAUUACUGAUACUGAGAUUGUUGAUGCUUCUAAACUCUGGAGGAUAUAUGUAUACAACCACAGAUUUGCAGUGAUAUUCCCAUCUAAUUUGAUAGUGAAAAUUUUUUUGUGUCUGUCUUUAUUAAUAUUCUUAAAGUUAAAUUUAUUGUUCCUAAUAAAAUUAAUUAGGUUAAAAGCUUGUCCUGGAAGAUAUCUAUAAUGGUUUCAAGAUUAUUACAAACAACACAGUCCUACAAAACAAAAACAUCAUCCUGUAUCGAUCAGUCUGUAUUUUCAAUAAUUGUACAUCUUGAAGAUUUUGCCAUAUCAGGACACAUACCCUAUUUUUUCAUCAGUGUAUUAAUAUUCAAAACAUGGGCAUACCACAGUUUAUGUAGCCAUUUACCAGCAAAUGGACAUUCAGGUUUUUUCUAACACUUUGCUACUACAAAUAAUGUUACAAUUAACAUAUUUGCAUACAUAUAUUUGUGUAUUCUUCUGCAAAACGACUCAUUAUAUUCUUUGAAUUAUUUUUCCUUAUUCAUAACCCAUUUUUCCAAUCUGUGUUAAUCUGUAGAAGCUCUCUUUUAUUUUUGUUAAAACUUUGCUACAUGUUGCAAACAUUUUUCUACUCAACAGGAAUUAUCUUGCUAUAAUGUCUUAUCUUAGGGAAGUUUGUUCCAUUCCAAGGGAGCCAACCCCACCUUCCUUUCCCUUUUCAGACAUAUGGUUCUCUACAUUUUGAUGCAUAAAAACAAAAUGAACAAACAAAAACAACAGUAACAACUUUGUGCUUUAUAUGUGUGUAUAAUCUCCUUCUCAUUUUUCAUUUAUUUGGACUCUUUCUGGACUCUUACUGCAUCACCAGCAGUAUUUUAAUUACCAGAGCUUUAUAAUAUACCAAGCACAGUAUAGCAAGUAAUAUAGUAUAAGACCUGUCUCGUUUUUAUUUUUUAAAGUUUGUAUUGGAUAGUCUUAGUCUCAUUCACAUGUUCUACUUUUUAUAUUUGAGAACCAAGUUGUUAAGUUUCCCUCACUCCCUAAAAAGAAAAAAAUUUGUGGGAUUGAUUGUCAUUGCAUUUAUUUGGGGGAUAAAACUUUGAAAAAGCCUAUGUAUUUUUUUAUUUUUAUCUUUUGAAAUUUAGGGCCACACCUGCGGCACAUGCAAGUUCCCCAGCUAGGGGUUGAAUAGGAGCUGCAGCUGCAGGCCUACACCACAGCCAAGCAAUGUCAGAUCCGAGUCGUAUCUGCAACCCACACCAUGGCUCACAGCAAUAUCGGAUCCUUAACCCACUGAAUGAGGCCAGGGAUUGAAACUGCAACCUCAUGGAUACCUGUCGGGUCUGUUUCCACUGAGCCACAACAGGAACUCCAAGCCUAUAUUUUCUUUCAAAGACAGAUUUUAAAAGAAAAGAAGAGUGCCCUCUUUUUCGCAGUUCAACUGCACAGUAGCUUUUAUGGAAUAAACAUGGCAGAAGCACUCUUUUUUUUUUUAAUUUCUUGACUAUACACAGGGGGAGAGGGACAAACAAAAAUACUAGCAACACUGUCAAAGCUCCAGAAAAAGGAAAAAACCUGUAGUACAAUUUAAUUGUGGCUCACUAUUCAUAUAAAAUAAAUCCAUUCACAAUGGUAAUUUAUUUAAUUAUAAAUGCUCAGAUGCAACUUUACCUCAGGAUACAAGAUUUAUGCAAAGAAGCGUGUAAAGCCCAACUAAGUGGACAGGAAAAAAAAGAAAUGUAAUUUCUAGUUAACAAAAUUAAACACAGCAAUGACAACAAAAAUACCCCAAAAAGACUGGAACCAUUAUGUAAAAGGUAAGGCCAAAAUGCUAAAGCUCUAGAGAAAGGAAGACAACCUGUGCUGAUGCUACACCACAAGAAGACAAGGGAGUCCUCAGAUGUUACAUGACCAACCCAGUCACAGGCCUGGCCCUGUAUGCAGAUGCUGGCAAAUUCACUUCCUAGGAAGUCACCCUAGGCACCAAGAAGGUAUCCAGAAGUCACCUGACUAGUCAGGGGUAAAUGCCUUAGGACGAGACUUCUACAUUUCAGGUUAGUGUCUCCAGCAAACACCACCAAAGGUAUAAGUAAUAAAUAAUAAUGAUCUUAUCCCACCCCACCCCUCAGCUCACCUAACCUGUGACUAUACAGUACAUACAGUAUAUACACAGCCUAUAUGAAAGGCAAAUUGUCUGGAAUGUUUAAUUCACCUUGAACAUUCACAUGCAUUUUACAUUCAACUUUGUAUUAUUUGUAAAUUCAUUCUACUAUAUAAAUAAUCUUUUAAUUGCUUAACAGUUACAUUGUUUAAUGCUUCUUUGUUUCAAACUCUUUUAGUAAAACCAAUGCUCUGAUAAAUAGAAUUUAUCCUAUGGGUACAUGGCUCUCUCUUUACACAAGUUAGACCGUACAUACUAAAUCACACCACUAAAUACUAGGGAAUUAUACAUGAAAAGCAAGACCUUUGAAAAUCAAGAACAAUAUAAACAAAAUAGAUAUUAAUAUAGCCUCUGAUGGACAGCUACUUUGGUUAAAGAGCCAAACAUUUAAAGUUUCUUUUUAAAUCAGGUAUAAAAAUAGGAACUCACAAAUUUCUUUAAAAAUAGAAAAAACUAAUAGUAAAGGUGAGAAAAUCAAAUGAUACUAGUUCAUAAGGUAUAUUCUUCCUUUAAUGUUAAAUUCAUAAUGACAGAAAAUAUAAGCUUAUACAUAAUGACUGAAUAUAAGCAAAUGUAUAUGGAGAGGUGUGUGUGUGUGUGUGAGUGUGUGUGUGUGUGUGUGUGUGUGUGUGUAUUUCUAAUACUUUUAACAAAAUUCAUCAAAAUAAUAGCUUUUAAAUUAGGAUCUAACCAAAAAUGAUAUUUGGUCUUACUUUAAAUAUGACCACAUAGACAUUUCUGAUAAUUACUUAACAAUUAUGUAGUUUUCAUUCAUAAUAAAGCAAUUAUAUCCAUGAUCUUCCUAACCUAUCAUUUAACUUGUCUUUAAUGGCCUUUUUACAAAAGUUUUAAAUGUCAAGAUCCCUGUCUUUAAUUUUUUGUUUAAUAUUUUCAUUUUAUCUUUAAGAAUAAUCUUUACGAAUAAAUUAGAUCUGGAAACAUACAUUUUCUCAGGCUCCAAAACCUGAUUCUAACAAAUUUUAUCUAGCACUAAGAGAAUAAUAUACACCAAUGUACAAUAACUUUGGCAUAAUAAUAAGCUUAUGUAUUUAAGAAAAUAUAUAGCAGAUUCCAAACUUCGCAACUGGAUAAACCAAUAAGAUGACUUGAAAGCUUUCUAAGUGCAAAUAUUUGGGAACAAGCCACAGAAAAUAAAACCUGGCUGCACAGCUCUGAGUCUCUACACUCCCAUGCCUCCCAUCUUCAAUUACAUCCAUAUGGAAAAUAUUCAAUUAACACUCAGAGCUUGCAUACCUCUUCUAAAAAGGCAUAACAAGCAUAUUAUCAGAGCAAACAACCCAAAUGACUUAAUCAAGCUUCCAAGUAUAAAUGAAUUAUUUUACCAAAAAGAAAUGUGUAUAUGCACUCCAAGUUUAUCAUCUGUUCCCUUCAUUCUUUUCCUUAGAGUAAAAUGAAAUCUAGAUUAGGAUAUAUUAUGUUACAAGUAGAAACUCCCACGGCCCAGAGUAGCCCAUCACAUAUGAUUUCAGAGCCAAGUUAGAACAAAGAUCCGUUUUCUAUAAACAAUGCUACAAAUAUAAAUAUUAUCUCAAUACAUUUUCCAUGAUGUAAUAUAAUUAAAACCCAUCCAAAAAAGUUCACUUUUAUUUAAUCAAUCUAUUUACUAAAACACAAUCAUGUGAUAUCUAAAAAAGAUCUGCUUUACAUAUGCAACACUCAACUACACAUGAUUUUUGUACAUAAAAAAGAAAUUAUUAUAUGUCACUUAGACAUAUGACUGAGGUGUUAAAUAAACUUAUGGCAAUAAAUAUUAGAUGCCAAAAACUAUCAAGGAAGUAGAUAAAUCACAUUAUUUUUAUGGAAGGGAUAACAGAUUAUGCAGAUGAUUUCUAUCUUUUUGUCUAUUUUGCAAAUUCUAAUUAAUGUGUUUCUUUACCUAUUUAAAAUACAUGUAACAAAAUAACCAAACAAUUCCACAUUUUAUAAUCAUCAAAGAUCAUCAUGUCUUUUUAAAAAACUUUAUACUAGUACCAGUUUUAUUUAUCACUCCACAUCUAGCAUAUAUAAGAAACCACCUUACAUAUAGUAGGCAUUCAUUAUUUACUGAAUACAAUUACUUAAUUUUUCUAAGCUUCAAUUUCAUCAAAGUAAAAAAAACCAUACUUACAACUGCUUAAGAAUAAAUCAGAUAAUAAAUACACACAAGAGGUGCUAAAAUGUUAGCCUGACCCCUUGUUUCUGUAGAUAGAAAUAAUUACCAUUAAUUAUCAUUUUCAUUCAAACCUUAAAAGAUCAAAAAAAAAAAAAAAAAAAGGCCAAAUUAUUCUCUCAAAGUUUACAUGAGAAAAAGAUUAUUUUCCGAAGAACUAGAAAUGCUGUUCAUAAACAGCAAGAAAAGUUUAGGUUAAAAAGAAAGGAAUGUGGUGUUCCCUUGUGACACUGCAGGUUAAAGAUCUGGCACUGUCACUACAAUGGCCCAGGUCACUGCUGUGGUGUAGGUUUGAUCCCUGGCCCAGGAACUACCACAUGC